CCUACGGGAGGCAGCAGUGGGGAAUUGUUCGCAAUGGGCGAAAGCCUGACGACGCAACGCCGCGUGGAGGAUGAAGGUCUUCGGAUUGUAAACUCCUGUUGCUCGGGACGAAUAGCUUCAACCUAAUACGUUGAGGUCUGACGGUACCGAGUGAGGAAGCCCCGGCUAACUCUGUGCCAGCAGCCGCGGUAAUACAGAGGGGGCAAGCGUUGUUCGGAAUUACUGGGCGUAAAGGGCGCGUAGGCGGCCCGCUACGUCGAACGUGAAAUCCCCGGGCUCAACCCGGGAACUGCGUCCGAUACUGGUGGGCUUGAAUCCGGGAGAGGGAUGUGGAAUUCCAGGUGUAGCGGUGAAAUGCGUAGAUAUCUGGAGGAACACCGGUGGCGAAGGCGGCAUCCUGGACCGGCAUUGACGCUGAGGCGCGAAAGCCAGGGGAGCAAACGGGAUUAGAUACCCCGGUAGUCCUGGCCCUAAACGAUGAAUGCUUGGUGUGGCGGGUAUCGAUCCCUGCCGUGCCGAAGCUAACGCAUUAAGCAUUCCGCCUGGGGAUACGGUCGCAAGGCUGAACUCAAAGGAAUUGACGG
RNAcentral lists this ribosomal RNA (584 nucleotides) under uncultured bacterium. RNAcentral describes it as "bacterial SSU rRNA". It matches the Rfam family "Bacterial small subunit ribosomal RNA", at positions 338 to 916 of the family's 1533-position model. The record is from RNAcentral.